UGAGUAAUGUUGCUUAAAUGACAUUGC
Molecule: small RNA, 27 nt
Filed under: Bombyx mori (domestic silkworm)
Lineage: Eukaryota; Metazoa; Arthropoda; Insecta; Lepidoptera; Bombycidae
Description: ovarian small RNA-32247
Source: RNAcentral